AUUGAACGCUGGCGGCAGGCCUAACACAUGCAAGUCGAGCGAGAAAGGUCUUCGGACUGAGUACAGCGGCGGACGGGUGAGUAAAGCGUAGGAAUCUACCUGGUAGUGGGGGAUAACUUGGGGAAACUCAAACUAAUACCGCAUACGCCCUACGGGGGAAAGCGGGGGACCUUCGGGCCUCGCGCUAUCAGAUGAGCCUGCGUAGGAUUAGCUAGUUGGUGAGGUAAAGGCUCACCAAGGCGACGAUCCUUAGCUGGUCUGAGAGGAUGAUCAGCCACACUGGGACUGAGACACGGCCCAGACUCCUACGGGAGGCAGCAGUGGGGAAUAUUGCGCAAUGGGCGAAAGCCUGACGCAGCCAUGCCGCGUGUGUGAAGAAGGCCUUAGGGUUGUAAAGCACUUUCAAUUGGGAAGAAAAGUUGGUCGUUAAUAGCGGCCAGCCCUGACAUUACCUUUAGAAGAAGGACCGGCGUAACUCCGUG
Molecule: ribosomal RNA, 482 nt
Filed under: uncultured bacterium
Lineage: Bacteria
Description: bacterial SSU rRNA
Rfam family: Bacterial small subunit ribosomal RNA
Source: RNAcentral